This 433-nucleotide ribosomal RNA is filed under the name uncultured bacterium. RNAcentral describes it as "partial 16S ribosomal RNA". It matches the Rfam family "Bacterial small subunit ribosomal RNA", at positions 29 to 507 of the family's 1533-position model. The record is from RNAcentral.
AACGAACGCUGGCGGCAUGCCUAACACAUGCAAGUCGAACGAGACCUUCGGGUCUAGUGGCGCACGGGUGCGUAACGCGUGGGAACCUGCCCUUAGGUUCGGAAUAACUCCCCGAAAGGGGUGCUAAUACCGGAUAAUGUCUUCGGACCAAAGAUUUAUCGCCUUUGGAUGGGCCCGCGUUGGAUUAGCUAGUUGGUAGGGUAAAAGCCUACCAAGGCGACGUUCCAUAGCUGGUCUGAGAGGAUGAUCAGCCACACUGGGACUGAGACACGGCCCAGACUCCUACAGGAGGCAGCAGUGGGGAAUAUUGGACAAUGGGCGAAAGCCUGAUCCAGCAAUGCCGCGUGAGUGAUGAAGGCCUUAGGGUUGUAAAGCUCUUUUACCCGGGAUGAUAAUGACAGUACCGGGAGAAUAAGCGCCGGCUAACUCCGUG